GACGAACGCUGGCGGCGUGCCUAACACAUGCAAGUCGAACGGAGUAAUUUCUUCGGAGAUUACUUAGUGGCGAACGGGUGAGUAACGCGUGAGAAACCUACCUUUCAGUGGGGGGACAACAGUUGGAAACGACUGCUAAUACCGCAUAAUGUGCCGGGAGGGCAUCCUCCUGGUACCAAAGCUUUAUGUGCUGAAAGAUGGUCUCGCGUCUGAUUAGCUAGUUGGUGAGGCAACGGCUCACCAAGGCGACGAUCAGUAGCCGGUCUGAGAGGAUGAACGGCCACAUUGGGACUGAGACACGGACCAGACUCCUACGGGAGGCAGCAGUGAGGAAUAUUGGUCAAUGGGCGAGAGCCUGAACCAGCCAAGCCGCGUGAGGGACGACGGUACUAAGUAUUGUAAACCUCUUUUGUCAGGGAACAAAGAGACCACGUGUGGUAAGAUGAGUGUACCUGAAGAAAAAGCAUCGGCUAACUCCGUG
This 481-nucleotide ribosomal RNA is filed under the name uncultured bacterium. RNAcentral describes it as "bacterial SSU rRNA". It matches the Rfam family "Bacterial small subunit ribosomal RNA", at positions 28 to 507 of the family's 1533-position model. The record is from RNAcentral.